Monomorium pharaonis (pharaoh ant) is the source of this 1564-nucleotide RNA transcript. It is a transcript of the gene named INO80 complex subunit C, with no coding region annotated. The record is from RefSeq and is a predicted model, not a curated record. NCBI's taxonomy places the organism in Eukaryota, Metazoa, Arthropoda, Insecta, Hymenoptera, Formicidae. The transcript is spliced from 5 exons.
UUUCUCGUUUGCACGUCUCGUAAGAGCUGAUGCAACUUGACGUACGAUGUACGAUCUGUAAUGAAACGGUUUUCUUUUCGUCGAAUGCACGAGCUCGAAACUCCAAACCCCUGAUCCGAUCUACUACGGGUCUGACCACUCUGACCUUGGCGCGCGCGCGCAAAGAAAAUAUCGAAAUGGCGAGCGAGGAAAUAAUCGAAGCUAAUAAAAAGCCGCAACCCGUGUUUAAAAAUCGCUCCUUUCAACAGAAAUUUCGACAGACUAGCACCACUGGGAAAAAACGUACUUGGCGGUCAUUGAAACAAGUUUUGGCUCAGGAACGUUCGUUACCAUGGCCAGCGACAGUAAAACACUAUAGUUCCAUCAAUGCACCACCAAGCUUCAAACCUGCAAAAAAGUACUCUGAUAUUUCCGGAUUACCAGCACGAUACACAGAUCCGCAAACUAAAUUGUAUUAUGCCACCGCUGAAGAAUUUGCAACGGUUCGCAGUUUGCCGAUGGAUAUAACAGCUGGAUAUUUGGCAUUACGUGGAGCGUCUAGUAUCGUUGGUUAAAAUUCGGACGAUGUGGCCUUGCAUUCACGUCGUACAUCAUGGUCCAUGUACAGUCCAGUAACGCAACAUUCAGGGCCAACACAAAUUCGUCAAGAGACAAAUGAAUCAGUUUAAUAGAGAAAAAACUAUGUAAUAAACCUAUAAAUAAUCAAAGAGCAAACAUGUGAGUAAAAAGAUUUCUAAUCUGAUGAAACUUAAAUCUUUUAUGUCAUACAUAAAGAUAUAUAAGAGCUGAGUUCCGAUAUUCACUGCCAGUACUAAAAAUCUAUAGUUUAUGUCAGAUAUACUGUAGAUUUUCAGUACUAACAGUAAGUAUCGAAACCCAGAUAACUAAGUAUGAUAUAGCAUUUUGAGCAAACUAAUGCAUUGCAUGUGUUAUAGAUUUACUAUACAUAUGUUGACAUCGAAAUAAAACACAUUACGAAUUCAGCAACAUGAUUACUUAUACAGGCAAUCAGUUGAGGACAUUUAAAAAAGGAAAUGUUAGCAAUAAUAAUACAUUAUAUUGUUUGCAAUAUAACAGCAACAUGACAAUAACAAAUGAUUGAUAACAAAUUAAUGACAUAUUGCUACCAAUUUGCCAUUGUUAAAAAUAGAAUUCAUGAUUUGAACCUAACAGACAUAAUGCUGUUUCAAUUUGUUCAGAGUUUGUCUAAAUUAGUUACUGUAUGAUUGUUGGCAACAUAACUGCACCAUCAAGACAUUUGGAUAUCUCAGAAUGCAGCCAAGAUCAGCUAUUCGACCUGCAGUGGAACCACGACCUUGGUGCUGAAUGUAAUUUUCUUAUAAUUUUUACCACUUCCAGCUCAUCUAAACUACGCACCUACACUUUUAUCAGCCUUGAAACGUUCUAGCUAAAUAUCGGUGCUCGGAAGCAUUUAAAAUUUUUUCUUUUUUUUGUAUAUCCUUGUCCUUUCCUUCAUUCUUAUUAUUUUUGUAUUACUAUUCUUUAUUAGUGCGAGCAUUAACGAGUGUGCAAAAUAAAGUGUUGCCUCACAAUUUUCGCUGUA